GUAGGUGGCAAGCGUUGUCCGGGAAUUAUUGGGGCGUGAAGCGCGCGCAGGCGGUUCUUUAAGUCUGAUGUGAAAGCCCACGGGCUCAACCGUGGAGGGUCAUUGGAAACUGGAGAACUUGAGUACAGAAGAGGAAAGCGGAAUUCCACGUGUAGCGGUGAAAUGCGUAGAGAUGUGGAGGAACACCAGUGGCGAAGGCGGCUUUCUGGUCUGUAACUGACGCUGAGGCGCGAAAGCGUGGGGAGCAAACAGGAUUAGAUACCCUGGUAGUCCACGCCGUAAACGAUGAGUGCUAAGUGUUAGGGGGUUUCCGCCCCUUAGUGCUGCAGCUAACGCAUUAAGCACUCCGCCUGGGGAGUACGGCCGCAAAGGCUG
Molecule: ribosomal RNA, 375 nt
Filed under: uncultured organism
Description: partial 16S ribosomal RNA
Rfam family: Bacterial small subunit ribosomal RNA
Source: RNAcentral